Molecule: long non-coding RNA, 1277 nt
Organism: Daphnia pulex (common water flea)
Lineage: Eukaryota; Metazoa; Arthropoda; Branchiopoda; Diplostraca; Daphniidae
Exons: 4
Source: RefSeq, a predicted model, not a curated record
UGAAAAGCUAAAAGUGAAAAAAAUUAAUGUUGUCAUUUCAGAUACAACCACAAAUAAAAUGGAUACCUUUUCAAUGAAGGUGAAUGUAGGCCAAAAAGUAUUAAUCUCUGUUAUUAAUUAAUUUAAACUUUACUUUCGACGAAGCACUAUCUAUAAUGAAUAGAACAGAAAGUGCUGGUUCAAGUGACACGAACAUGACUGCUGUCAUGUACUCACCAAGCCACCGAAAGAAAAUAGUCAAAUUAAUCUAGAGAUGGCAAAGAAUAACGUUAUGAGUAUAGCUCAAAAAUUAACUUAGCUAUUUAAAAAAAAUAAUAAUAAGUAAGGUUAAGUUCGUUUCAGUCUCGUUGUCGUAAUUUAUCCAUUAUUGCUAUUCAAAAUGACCACAAUUAAACCAUGAUGCACCGCUGUAUUUUUAGUAUUACUUGUACCCCUUAGACAAUACUUCUCAUUCUGUUUCAUCAGUUUUCCGCUAACCCACGAUCCCACUUUCAAGAAAAUGUCGGAUAGAGCUCAAGAGGAGUUUAACAGCUUAAUCACUUGCCUGGUGUGCACCAACACUUUUAACGAGACCGAAAAUUCGCCUCGUACUCUUCCAUGUGGACACAUAUUUUGCCUGAAUUGUCUUGAGAGAAUUUGUAUUAUAAAUCAUCUGGGGGGGAAGGAAUUGAUUUGCCCACUUUGCAAAAAGGAUCAUUCAAUUACUUCUUCUAUAAGAGAAUCUACGUUGGAAUCGUCUCAGACGUUGUACCUUGUGAAAUUGCCAAGGGUGGUGGCACCCACUGCUACAGACACAGCAGUAAAACCAUCAAAUCUUAACAUUGAGCAACCUAUCCUGCGUCCCCCCCCCCGUGGAGGAUAUAACCCCGCUACUAAAUUACCCCACCCGUGACCAAUGUAUGUUAUUGGACGCUGAGCCUAGAGACCAAGCGAUGCCAUCUGUAGGGAGGGCCCACGGUCAUCCCGGUACGUUAAGUGAUUCGUCGAGGCUAUCUCUACGUAGAACACGCGGACGAGGGGAACUAUUUGCGGAACCUACGCCAAGAUAUUCCCCGUAUUCUCGAGUGAAUUUGUCGAGAAGGAUGAAUUCCCCACCAUCGGCCAGAAAAUCGAAGGCAUCUUCUUCAAGCCCGUCUCCACGUGCGGGAUCACCAAAUCCGGGACCGUUUAGACGAUCCCUGUCACCUAGGCCAGGCCCGUCUACCCGAUCGACGUCCCCAAGGCCAGGACCCUCUAGAAGAUCGUGGUCGCCACCAAACUAAAUUAUGGGGGGGGGG